This 385-nucleotide ribosomal RNA is filed under the name uncultured bacterium. RNAcentral's name for it is "bacterial SSU rRNA". It matches the Rfam family "Bacterial small subunit ribosomal RNA", at positions 975 to 1361 of the family's 1533-position model. The record is from RNAcentral.
CUGGGCUUGACAUACGCCGGAUCGCCGCAGAGAUGNGUUUUCCCUUGUGGNCGGUNUACAGGUGGUGCAUGGUUGUCGUCAGCUCGUGUCGUGAGAUGUUGGGUUAAGUCCCGCAACGAGCGCAACCCUUGUCUUGUGUUGCCAGCACGUUAUGGUGGGGACUCGCGAGAGACUGCCGGGGUUAACUCGGAGGAAGGUGGGGAUGACGUCAAAUCAUCAUGCCCCUUAUGUCCAGGGCUUCACACAUGCUACAAUGGUCGGUACAGUGGGUUGCGANACCGUGAGGUGGAGCUAAUCCCUUAAAGCCGGUCUCAGUUCGGAUUGGAGUCUGCAACUCGACUCCAUGAAGUCGGAGUCGCUAGUAAUCGCAGAUCAGCAACGNGCG